AGGCGUCGAGCGGCGGACGGGUGAGUAAUGCAUAGGAAUCUACCCAGUCGUGGGGGAUAACCUGAGGAAACUCAGGCUAAUACCGCAUACGUCCUACGGGAGAAAGCGGGGGCUCUUCGGACCUCGCGCGAUUGGAUGAGCCUAUGUCGGAUUAGCUGGUUGGUGAGGUAACGGCUCACCAAGGCGACGAUCCGUAGCUGGUCUGAGAGGAUGAUCAGCCACACCGGGACUGAGACACGGCCCGGACUCCUACGGGAGGCAGCAGUGGGGAAUAUUGGACAAUGGGCGCAAGCCUGAUCCAGCCAUGCCGCGUGUGUGAAGAAGGCUUUCGGGUUGUAAAGCACUUUCAGCGAGGAAGAAAGCGUGCCGGCCAAUACCCGGUACGGACGACAUCACUCGCAGAAGAAGCACCGGCUAACUCCGUGCCAGCAGCCGCGGUAAUACGGAGGGUGCAAGCGUUAAUCGGAAUUACUGGGCGUAAAGCGCGCGUAGGCGGCGUGUCACGCCGGGUGUGAAAGCCCCGGGCUCAACCUGGGAACGGCAUCCGGAACGGGCAGGCUAGAGUGCAGGAGAGGAAGGUAGAAUUCCCGGUGUAGCGGUGAAAUGCGUAGAGAUCGGGAGGAAUACCAGUGGCGAAGGCGGCCUUCUGGACUGACACUGACGCUGAGGUGCGAAAGCGUGGGUAGCAAACAGGAUUAGAUACCCUGGUAGUCCACGCCGUAAACGAUGUCGACUAGCCGUUGGGUCCCUUGAGGACUUAGUGGCGCAGUUAACGCGAUAAGUCGACCGCCUGGGGAGUA
RNAcentral lists this ribosomal RNA (800 nucleotides) under Chromohalobacter sp. Mg70. RNAcentral describes it as "bacterial SSU rRNA". It matches the Rfam family "Bacterial small subunit ribosomal RNA", at positions 86 to 882 of the family's 1533-position model. The record is from RNAcentral. Lineage: Bacteria; Pseudomonadati; Pseudomonadota; Gammaproteobacteria; Oceanospirillales; Halomonadaceae.